GAGACAUGUAUAUUUCCAAUUCCUGGACAAUGUUCAAUUCAAGCUCUAUCUGAUGUGGAGAAGGCUUAGAAGAAGGAAAUGGUGAAUUUUUCAUGGUCCCUGACAACUUCCAAACCACCUCUCUCUUUAGUGUUCCAGUUAAAGCUCCCUGCCCAGAAGAAUAAAUAUUUUUGUGUACGAAUUGAGCUAGAAAUUCUCUGGUGCAAAAUAACUAUUAAAGAGUAAGUUCUAAACCACAUGUUUAACCA
Molecule: long non-coding RNA, 248 nt
Organism: Pyrus x bretschneideri (Chinese white pear)
Lineage: Eukaryota; Viridiplantae; Streptophyta; Magnoliopsida; Rosales; Rosaceae
Exons: 2
Source: RefSeq, a predicted model, not a curated record